Molecule: ribosomal RNA, 763 nt
Filed under: uncultured bacterium
Lineage: Bacteria
Description: bacterial SSU rRNA
Rfam family: Bacterial small subunit ribosomal RNA
Source: RNAcentral
GCAUGCAGUCGAACGCGAAAGGGGGCGACUCCAAGUAGCGUGGCGAAAGGGGUACCUANUGCAUAGGCAACCUACCUUCGAACCUGGGAUAUACGGUUGAAAAACCGGGCAAUACUGGACGUCGUUUCGAGUGGGCAUCCACUGGAAUCGAAAGGUCCGCCGUUCGGAGAGGGGCUUAUGUCCUAUCAGCUAGUUGGCGGGGUAACGGCCCACCAAGGCUUAGACGGGUAGGGGGUGUGAGAGCACGAUCCCCACCACUGGCACUGAGACACUGGCCAGACUCCUACGGGAGGCUGCAGUCGAGAAUCUUCGGCAAUGGGCGAAAGCCUGACCGAGCGACGCCGCGUGGAGGAUGAAGGCCUUCGGGUUGUAAACUCCUGUUGGGGGGGAACAAUAAAUGAGUGACCCCCUGAGGAAGCACGGGCUAAGUUCGUGCCAGCAGCCGCGGUAAGACGAACCGUGCGAACGUUAUUCGGAAUCAUUGGGCUUAGAGAGCGCGUAGGCGGCGACGUAAGUUGGAAGUGAAAUCCCAUCGGCUCAACCGUGGAAUUGCUCCCAGUACUGCGUUGCUCGAGGGAGAUAGAGGACUGUGGAACUGCCGGUGGAGCGGUGAAAUGUGUUGAUAUCGGCGGGAACGCCAGUGGCGAAAGCGACAGUCUGGACCUCUUCUGACGCUGAGGCGCGAAAGCUAGGGNUAGCGAACGGGAUUAGAUACCCCGGUAGUCCUANCCUUAAACGAUGGGCACNUGGGUAGAAAAGUGUA